GUUUCCGUAGUGUAGCGGUUAUCACGUUCGCCCUCACGCGAAAAGGUCCCCAGUUCGAAACUGGGCGGAAACA
This 73-nucleotide transfer RNA is filed under the name Anguilla anguilla (European eel). RNAcentral describes it as "tRNA-OTHER". The record is from RNAcentral. Lineage: Eukaryota; Metazoa; Chordata; Actinopteri; Anguilliformes; Anguillidae.